Molecule: long non-coding RNA, 2014 nt
Organism: Anser brachyrhynchus (Pink-footed goose)
Lineage: Eukaryota; Metazoa; Chordata; Aves; Anseriformes; Anatidae
Source: Ensembl
AAAGGAAAGGAAAGGAAAGGAAAGGAAAGGAAAGGAAAGGAAAGGAAAGGAAAGGAAAGGAAAGGAAAGGAAAGGAAAGGAAAGGAAAAAGGAGAAAGGGAAUCAACAGUCUCUCUUUUUUUUGUUUUUGUUGUGUUUUUUUUUUUUUAAUCAGGGGACUAGAAAAAACAGCUCCUGGAACUUGGGCGUGUUCCAAACAUGUCUCAGCCUAUUGCAAUAUGGGAAAUAUUACGAAGCGCUUCCUAUUUUAUAGACAUCAGAGUUCUUUAGAAAUAACAGAUAAUGUUUCAGAUGAGGAAAUUGAAAAAUAAAAGUGCUAAGCAAAUUACUGUACAGUGAGACAGCGGAUCGAAAACAAAGCUUUUGGUAUUGUACCAUUUAUGUCAACAAGUGAAUCACUGAGGGUGAAUACACAAUUUAAAUCUGGAAAGUCUAUGCACAAUGUAGCUACCGAUGGCAGCUUUAGUUGCUUUAGUUGCUUCCAAAGUAUAACAUUGAGGGCUUUUCCACAGUUAUAUUAAAUUGUACUACUAGCACAAUAUUAGCAGUUUUCACUUAGCCAUGAUAUUCACUUAUGCUUGUUUUUAUCCAAAGAUCUUUAAGCCCUCACACAGGCAAAUACUAACAGUGACAUUUCAAAGCAUGAAGACAUGGGGAAGUUGGGUUACUUGGGUCAUUGUCAUAUGAUGAGCCCAAAAUAGAAAAAGCAUCUUGCAGAGCUUGUGACUUCUAUCCCAUGCUCCCCUGUUCAGACAUACAGCCCACCUCCUGCGAGGCGCACAGCUAGACGAGCAGUAGUUCUGUUCAUUUAGUGACUGACCCAGACUGACUGACUCAAAACAGGCGUUGAAAUCUCAGCUGUCGGACUCUGAAUCAAUAAAAUGCUGUCCUCUCUCAGUUUCCAUCAGAUUUGCAAGUCACCACCUGAUGUGUAAUGGACUGCUGGCACGGCAGAGGCCACAGGCUGAGAAACACCUGACAGUGACCAUUACUGCAGAUGAGAUGCUGGGUCAGGCAGGACUUUGAUUGGACCAAAAUGGCAAUUCAGAUGUUCUCAAGGCAAUUUGAGAAUGGAAGAAAAACAGGCUUCCAGGCCGUAUGCCAUCAUUUACCAGCAUUGCUCAGCAUCCCGACAGUUCCGUGGGGCCGACUUGUAAGAAAUGUGGAAUAACUGAGAUGAACAACUGAGAUGCUGAAUUCAUUUCACAAAGCAAAAUAUUUGGACUGCUAGAAAAAGAAAAAAAAAAAAAAAAGGAACUGGCGUGGGAGUAAGUGGGGAACUCCAUAUAGAAACAGGAAGUAUCGUGUGGCUGAUAGGAAACGGGCGCAAAGCAUCUGUUUUGGUAGUAUUUUCGCUUGUUUUGGGGGUAUUUCCAUAGUGAACUGGAAAUUGGCCUUGUGUGUAGGUAUUACUUCACUGCUGAGCAAAAGGAAGGCACUAAUUUGGAGCGCAGCACAGCAGCUGUCAGCAUUACUGCACAGCAACACCGCACAACAGCUGAAGGCCACUCGUGCAAAACACAACAUCCCACUGAGGCUGUGGAUGACCGUAGAGCUGCUCUGACCUGCCAUAAAGUGUAAACAGCCCUUUGACUUCUAUAAAAACAGAAAGCUGUCUUCCAGGCUGCCUUUUCUGACUAGGACCACUUCUGCCUCCAGAAAUGCUGGGAUACAGCCCCAUCGACACUACAAAAACUACAAGGCAGCAAGGUGCGAACACGACGAAAGCACUUUGACCCUGUUUGGCAAAGCCUUUACCACACGUGGAUCUGACAGGAGGGAAGCGUAGCUCUCCUGUUUCCGUAAUUGUUAGCUGGUGGCCGGUCUGGAGCACACUCCCAAGCUCUGUGGCGUCAGGGCUGUUUGCUCCUUUGGUUUUGUCACAAGAUUGGGUUUUUUUCUUCACAGAAGUCAAGUCCAAAAAUAUGACAGUUUUCCUUGUGUCAGUGAAGUUCUACUGAGGCAGUAGGUCUUGAGCAAGUUGUUUGUCAGACCUCCGCAGAGCUCUGGGGAG